ACGGUACAACUUUAACAGUUAU
Molecule: small nuclear RNA, 22 nt
Filed under: Arabidopsis thaliana (thale cress)
Lineage: Eukaryota; Viridiplantae; Streptophyta; Magnoliopsida; Brassicales; Brassicaceae
Description: snRNA_00009
Source: RNAcentral